AUAUUAAUGUUACGAGGAUUAGUAGACUAGUCAACGUGUUCAGAAACUAAGUGGUUGUUGCGAACUUAGCGCGUUGGCCUGCCGAACUCACCUCUUUAUCUUCUGGCUGAACAAUCAGUAGGCCAGGACGUCUGGUUCGCGUUACGAAUUUGAGAGCCCAUUAUUGGGAAUAUUAGGUGGUACCGCGGCUAGUUCGUCCUAUAA
This 204-nucleotide non-coding RNA is filed under the name Secundilactobacillus oryzae. RNAcentral describes it as "Lactobacillus oryzae T-box sequence". It matches the Rfam family "T-box leader". Rfam says of the family: Uncharged tRNA acts as the effector for transcription antitermination of genes in the T-box leader family. T-boxes are found upstream of many aminoacyl-tRNA synthetase genes and some amino acid biosynthetic genes usually in Gram-positive bacteria. The record is from RNAcentral. Lineage: Bacteria; Bacillati; Bacillota; Bacilli; Lactobacillales; Lactobacillaceae.